This is a long non-coding RNA of Dama dama (fallow deer), 3345 nucleotides long. RefSeq lists it as uncharacterized. The record is from RefSeq and is a predicted model, not a curated record. NCBI's taxonomy places the organism in Eukaryota, Metazoa, Chordata, Mammalia, Artiodactyla, Cervidae. The transcript is spliced from 3 exons.
UUCUUCAGCACCACAGUUCAAAAGCAUCAAUUCUUCAGUGCUCAGCCUUCUGCUACGGGCUUCCCUGUGGCUCAGACAGUAAAGAAUAUGCCUGCAAUGCAGAAAACCUGGGUUGAGCCCCUGGGUUGGGAAGAUCCAUUGGUGGAGGAAAUGGCAACCCACUCUAGUAUUCUUGCCUGGAGAAUUCCAUGGACAGAGGAGCCUGGCGGUCCACAGUCAUGGUGUUGCAAAGAGUUGGACACAAGUGAGCGACUUAACAGUUUCACUUUCAGCUCUCACGUCCAUACAUGACUACUGGAAAAACCAUGGCUUUGACUAGAUGGACCUUUGUCAGCAAAGUGAUGUCUCUGGUUUUUAAUAUACUGUCUAGGUUUGUCACAGCUUUCCUUCCAAGGAGCAAGCAUCUUUUAUUUUCACGGCUGUGGUCGCCAUCCACAGUUAUUUUGGAGCCCAGGAAUAUAAAAUCUGUCACUGCUUCCAUUUUUUUCCCCUUCUGUUUGGCCUGAAGUGAUGGGCCUGGAUGCCAUGAUCUUGGUGUCUUGAUAUCAGAGAAAUGUAAGCUAUCACUACGAGGGGUAAUGCACUUAGGUGGCCUGGUUCCUUGUGGUGUUUAAAUGAUUGUACACCCAAUACAGACUGCUGGCCAGCUUUAAUUGGGAAGUUCCAGUAUUGGUGCUUUUAGGAGGGAGUAAAGGAAGAACUGUGCUGGUCAGGUUUGUAGUUGACGGGAAUCCGGUAAGGAAAGCUAGUACUACUCUGGAUAACAAACUCAGGAAAAAUUUUGAAAUGUCAGAAGUAUAUUGGAUCUAAAUCAGAAGCAAUUUGAUAUGAAUAAUUAUUCAGCCCAGCAGGAAUGUCCCAAAAGGCAAGCAGUAAACAAGAGAGGAGGAUGUGGUUCACUGCAGAACAGACAGGUCAGUUAAGUCGCUCAGUGGAGAACUGCCGUGUAACAUAUGAAAACUGUGAGUGGAGUUUAAGACUGCACUAUGAAAUCUGGAUAGGUGGUCUUGCCUGGUUAGAUCACAUGUGGAGUAUAGGGUCUGGUUUGAAAUUCCACACUUUUUUUAAAAAGGGAUUAGACAAGCUGGAGUUAUUCUCCUGGAGAAUAACUGAGGGGAAUCUUCUGAUUGAGUCAACUCCCCCAAGUUUUAUCUUCUUUGUAACAAAAGCACAGCUGGAUACUUCUGACAGGAAUUGGUUACCAACAAUGCUAAAGGUAAUGCAGACUGAAUGUGAAUAUUAUGGCCCUUUUUUUUUUUUAUUUGGAUUGGGCUAAUAAGUGGCUUUAUUAGAGAGAGCCAAGAUUCCAGAGGAUUUAAGAGCUGGCAUUGGGGUCUGUCUUGUCCCCAAAGGCGGGUUUGACACUGAUUAAGCGCCGGUUGUACAGCAUACGCCUCUUGGCUCAGUCUUUUUUUCCUCGUUUGGCCACCUUGGAAGUCUGACCACUUACUUUCCCAGCAUGGGCCAGGGAACAGUUCACAGGCUAGUAUGGUGAUGAUAAUUUAUAUAUUGUUAAUAAUAUGUCUGAUUAGACUUUUCAAAGUACUUUGAGUUCCUCUUUCUACAUGACAUCUGAAAAUAUUCUCGUUACGGAACUAUACUUUUGAAAAUAUAUCAUAUUUAAUGUUUAUUUAACGUCAUCUUUAUUUAACAUGGGCUUCCCAGGUGGCUCUGUGGUAAAGAAUCUGCCUGCCAAGCAGGAGACCUGGGUUGGGGAGAUCCCCUGGAGAAGGGACCGACUAGCCACUCCAGUAUUCUUGCCUGGAAAAUCCCAUGGAUGGAGGAGCCUGGCAGGCCACAGUCCAUGGGGUCGCAAAGAGUUGGAAGCGACUGAUCGGCUUCACCUACACAAGUAUCCUUUAAAUCAGGAAGAAAAAGACUCCAAACCCAGUGUAAUAAUAAGCAUUAGAGGUGUACAGUUUUGCUAAGGAAGUCCAGAUGAAUAAUAGAUAUGAAAAUGUGUUUAUUGUCAUCAGUGAUCAGGAAUUCAAAUCAAAGGAGUCAAAUUGAUGUUUGGGUGGGUAGAGAUGGAGGUCCAGAAAAUAGUGUUUUUAUUCUGGCAGAUUGGCAAAAAUCACAAGGAUUAGUAGGGCUGGUGUUGGUUGGCUGGUGAGGAAAUCACUGCCUUCAUGCACUGUUGAUGACAGUGUAAACUGGCAUAAGCUUUUGGUACAGGUUAUAAUCUUUGUGUUUUGACCCCCCAGGCACUCAGAAUCUCCUUGGCUUCUUUUAUUCUGGUAUCUGGUAUACAGAACAUUGUGUGGUCUUUCUGUGGCCAGAACAGCCCUUUAUUUAGUCAUCCUUUAUAGAAAAUUGCUUCCUAAGGUGGGAAGGUCAGGAGUCAUUUCUUUGGUUUUUUUAUAAAGCUGAACUGACGCAUACGCAGUGACCCUCCUGAGUGAGAUAGAUCUGGCUAGCAGAGAGAAAGACAGGAGUUUCUUUACUCUCACUCAUUUUAUAUGACUUGCAGGAAAGAGUAAAGCUGGGCGCUCAGGUUGGGCACAGAAGAGAAAUACAGUAACACAUUAGAAAUAAGACCCAAAGCCUAUGACCUAGUACUUUUGCUGAAAUAGUUACAAAACAGCCUGUCCUUUGGAGAAAUGCUGCAGUGACCCCUGCUGACUCAGAAGAGAGCUGUGUUGGUCUAACAGUUUCAGCUAUGAAGUAUAUGUUUACUUUUAUAAUGAAUUUAGAAGACAUUGUUAAAGGUAGAUUUUGUGUGGAAUUAUUGAUAUAAAAUAAGUUUUGCGAAGCUGUGCUCACAAAAAUUUGAAAAUAUAAGGGCGCAGAUCAAGCAUGUGUAAAUGCGGUCUCAUUCAUGGCACUUAUUUUAGUGAGCAAACUACCUUUCAUUUAACAACAAAAGAUGUCUGAAAACUGUUACCAGGCCAGUAUUCAACUGAAGCAAAAAGCAGAUAUAUAAAGAGCAAACUUUUCUGCAGAAGAAAGAUUCAAGUUAGUUAGUCUGAACGUAAUCAACUCAUCACUUCGACAUGACGUCAUGAUGUGUAUUCUCUAAAUCCAAGGACAAAUAAAUACAAGAGAAUUUGAAGAUAAGAGACUUACCUUGAAUUCUGAUGGACAUAUUCACCAUGGGAUCUCAGGGCUGGUCUUUUAUAUGAGCCUAAAGAUGUCCUCGUUGGAAAAGACCCUCAUACUGGGAAAGAUUGAACACAAAGGGAGAAAAGCCCAGCAGACGAUGAGAUGUUUGGAUAUCAAGCAUCACUGACUCAAUGGACAUCAAUUUGAGCAAACUCCGGGAGAUCCUGAAGGACAGGGAAAUCUUGACAUGCUGCAGUCCACAGGGUCGCAAAGAGUUGGGCACUGCGGUGACUGAGCAACCAC